UGGUACACACCGCCCGUCGCUACUACCGAUUGAAUGGCUCAGUGAGGCCUCCGGACUGGCUCGAAGAGGUUGGCAACGACCACUUCGAGCCGGAAAGCUGGUCAAACUCGGUCAUUAGAGGAAGAAAAGUGACCCUUCG
RNAcentral lists this ribosomal RNA (139 nucleotides) under Epicoccum sorghinum. RNAcentral describes it as "partial small subunit ribosomal RNA". It matches the Rfam family "Eukaryotic small subunit ribosomal RNA", at positions 1660 to 1791 of the family's 1831-position model. Lineage: Eukaryota; Fungi; Ascomycota; Dothideomycetes; Pleosporales; Didymellaceae. The record is from RNAcentral.